GCAGCCGCGGUAACACCGGCAGCUCUAGUGGUAACAAUUUUUAUUGGGCCUAAAGCGUCCGUAGCCGGUUUAAUAAGUCUCUGGUGAAAUCCUGUAGCUUAACUGUGGGAAUUGCUGGAGAUACUAUUAGACUUGAGACCGGGAGAGGUUAGAGGUACUCCCAGGGUAGAGGUGAAAUUCUGUAAUCCUGGGAGGACCGCCUGUUGCGAAGGCGUCUAACUGGAACGGUUCUGACGGUGAGGGACGAAAGUUAGGGGCGCGAACCGGAUUAGAUACCCC
Molecule: ribosomal RNA, 279 nt
Filed under: uncultured Methanobrevibacter sp.
Lineage: Archaea; Methanobacteriati; Methanobacteriota; Methanobacteria; Methanobacteriales; Methanobacteriaceae
Description: partial 16S ribosomal RNA
Rfam family: Archaeal small subunit ribosomal RNA
Source: RNAcentral